GGAUGUCUGGUCGUACAGGAAAGGGCAGGGGCGACUCCCCACUCUUCAAAACCCUAGAACUUCACUAAUCUUGCAAAUUGAAGGUCCAAUUCAGUCCAAAAUCGAAAUUUAAGCAUGGAUUAUUGAUCCACAUCACAAGAGGAUUAAAAGUUUGAUCUCGUCAAGCUAAGUGGGAGCUGGAAAGGAAUGGAUCAAACGGAUCAUGGAUGCGAAGAAUGUUUGCGCGGACGCGAGAUUAUAA
RNAcentral lists this long non-coding RNA (241 nucleotides) under Helianthus annuus (common sunflower). RNAcentral's name for it is "hypothetical non coding rna". The record is from RNAcentral. Lineage: Eukaryota; Viridiplantae; Streptophyta; Magnoliopsida; Asterales; Asteraceae.